Long non-coding RNA from Prionailurus viverrinus (fishing cat), 1189 nucleotides. RefSeq lists it as uncharacterized. The record is from RefSeq and is a predicted model, not a curated record. The transcript is spliced from 3 exons. NCBI's taxonomy places the organism in Eukaryota, Metazoa, Chordata, Mammalia, Carnivora, Felidae.
AACAAAAAGUAUGAUAAACUCAAAAUUGCAACAAGAAAAAAGAACGUGUUUGACAAAUCUAACAUCCAUUUCUGAGAAAAACUGCAAAGCACGAAUGGAAGGGAACUUCCUCAACCCGAUAAAGGGCAUCUGGGAAGUAACCACAGCGAGCAUCAUACUUAACAGCACAAGACUGAAUGUUUUCCCCAGGUUAGGAAAAGGGCAAAGAUCUCCACCAUCACCAUGUCUGUCUGACAUCACACCGGAGUCUCUAUGCAAUACGACGAGCAGGAGAAAAGAAUUCAUAAGGAGACAAAAGCGCAGACAGUAUGAUCUAUGUAGAAAAUCCUACGGAACCUGGAAAGAAGCUAACAAGUGACUUCGGCAAGGUCACAGAAAGAACAGCACACACAUACCGCUGUCUUCCCAUACACCGGCAGUGGACGUGUAUAUGCUGCCGUUAAAAUACGAUACGUUUACCACCACUCAAAAUACGCCGAGGUCUGAACUUAACAAAACGUGCAUCUGACACGUAUGUCGGGUAUCAUACUGAACAUCUUCCCUGAAAAUCCUCGGUGCUCCGCCUGUCCCUCCCCUCCCCGCCCCUCAGGAAGCCACUGACUUCUCCGUUUCCAUGAUUUUGCUUUUCUCGGAACGUCAUACGGUUGGAAUCACACAGUGUGUGUAGCCUUUUCUGACUGGCUUCUUUCUCUUGGUAAUAUGCGAUUAAGCUUCCCGCAUGUGUCCCCAGGGCCUUGGGAGCUCAUUUCUUUUUAGCCCUGAAUCAUAUUCUGCUGUCUGGGUGGUCCACACCCACCGAGGGCAUCUGGGCUGCUUCGAGUCUGGGCGAUUGUGAAUAAAGCUGCCAUAAACAUCCGUGUGCGGGUUCUUGUGUGGACGGAAGUUUUCUACUUCUUUGGGUAACUGCCAAGGACAUGACUGUGGAUCCUGCGGGUCCUCUGUGCCCGGGAUGACCCACGCAAGAAGAGAUCAUGAAGAAGCGAGUUGCGCCCACGGCACUCGCAGUCAGGAAGCUGUUUGCCGAGCAAACAGAGCUGUUUGCGCUGUUCGCUCCUCAAGGUGGACGAGGACUGAGGGAAUCUGAUAAACCUUUGUUACAGAGGGAGUACGUGGACAGGGGCGGGGCAGAGAGAGAAUCCCAAGCAGGCUCCACGCUGCCAGCCUAGAGCCCCACGCAAGGCUGGAUCUC